UGUAAGCGUAUACCAAAGUUGUUGCAGUUAAAACGCUCGUAGUCGGAAUUUGGCGGUUCCGGAUGUGUGCACGUCGUGUGCGCACUUCGCGGGGAUUGCUUUUGUGGUCUUGCGUAGGAUGAGGCACUUUUAUUAGUGAACGUCCUCACGCAACCACUUUUUACUGUGAGAAAAUCAGAGUGCUCAAAGCAGGCAUUUGCCGUGAAUGUAUUAGCAUGGAAUAAUAGAAUAGGACUUGGUUCUAUUUUGUUGGUUUGUUGGGACUGAGUAAUGAUUAAGAGGGACAGUUGGGGGCAUUUGUACUUCGGUGCUAGAGGUGAAAUUCUUAGAUUACCGAAAGACAAACUGCUGCGAAAGCGUCUGCCAAGGAUGUUUUCAUUGA
RNAcentral lists this ribosomal RNA (382 nucleotides) under uncultured eukaryote. RNAcentral's name for it is "partial 18S ribosomal RNA". It matches the Rfam family "Eukaryotic small subunit ribosomal RNA", at positions 592 to 976 of the family's 1831-position model. The record is from RNAcentral.